Molecule: long non-coding RNA, 2116 nt
Organism: Triticum dicoccoides
Lineage: Eukaryota; Viridiplantae; Streptophyta; Magnoliopsida; Poales; Poaceae
Exons: 6
Source: RefSeq, a predicted model, not a curated record
UAUCCACUCACUGACCACCUCUCGCCCUCUCCCCUCCCCGGCUCCCCCCGCCGCAUCGCCGCGCGCGUCGACGAGCCCGCAACCGCGCGACUCCGCCCGCCGACCACCGAAUCGGUCUCAUGAAUUGGCGGGGCUUGGGACUACGACCAGCUGUGUGCGGCGCGAUCGACGGAGGCAGACGCAUCGAGCUUCCUGACCCGGGCGUGCGUGCUCGAUCCGGUCUCAUUCCGGUCGGAUCCGCGGUGGUGCUCCUCUCCGGCGAGGUCGCAGGUCGAUCCGACGCGGGGCGGCUCGAUCUGCAAGCGGAGCAGCUCCGGCACGGCCAGGGCGACGACUGCUCCCCGACGCCGCCACCCUCCGCAAGGAGCGACGACGGCUCGAAGCUCUGCGGCACGGCGUGCGCCGAGCGACGCGCCGCGGGGGCGCCCCUGCCUCAGCCACCGGCGUGUCUGACCACCCGUCCACGCCCCCACCGCUGCCGCCGGCCGGCCACACGAUGUCGCUCGUCCCGCUGCUUCAGCCGGCCAAGAAACCGGAACGCCCCCCUUGCCUGGCAACCUCGGCAUCUCCAUCGACCGUCUCAGAAAGCGCUACCUCGCUCGGCUCCCGCAUAGCUGAUGCAAGCCAAGAAACAGGGAGUGCCGGCAGUAGUACUCUGAAUCCAUCAAUGCAACUGAAUCCAUAAUGCUAAUCAAGAGGUGGUUUUGGCCUAACUGGGAUGUGCUUGAGUCCUGCAUAGCUGUGGAGGAGGAAGUUGCUGCCCUUCUUGAGCAGUUUGCAAAGAUCUUCAGUGAGCAAAGAGGGCAGUGGAAGGCAGCAACCCAAUCCCAGGAGUUCCUUUGAACCCUUCAGCGUUAAUACAAUAAUGCUUACACAGAUCCUGAGAAGCCGGAUGCUAUAAAUGUAUUCUUGGGCCAUUUCCAGUCUCAACAAGGCAAACCUCCUCUUGUGGAAGUUGGACUGAGAUCAGCAUUACAAUGUUGGCCGCCAAGGAACUCUAUGUGAAGAAACUGGAAGGUGAACAUAUACCUGGAGGUAUCGGCAAUGGUGUCGUCUGUUCUGUUGGCUUGCUGUGUGGAGUCCCCAUAGGUAACUACUAAAAAAAAGACAUGUCUAACAGACUCAGGUAUCCCGCAAAAACUUGUAAACUGACUCUGCAAGCAGAUAACGUGAAAUACCAACAGUACUAAACGCCCGUUCCCAUGCUACAGAAACUCAGUCCAUAAGGGCAGCUUUGCUAUACAUAUGAAAAUAGAAAGACAUGUCCAACAGACUUUGCUACUUUGCAUUUUUUUGAAAACUGAAUUUGCUGGUUAUAAACAUGAUCGGGGUUGCUUGGUCUGAGUAUUGGAGCCUGUUAACAGGAAAAAUGACUACCACGACUGCAUAUUCCAGCUCUGACCUUCCGUAUUAUGUUAAUCAAAUCUAUUGCUAUUUUCGUUCUCAAGCACAUAACUGUAUUACACAAGAUCUAUUUUUAUUUGCACUUCAUUUGAGUUGAGAAUCCGUUUCUGUUGUAACAAAAUAGCAAUAGAUAUGUCGCAUUCCACUUAUUUUGGAACGUCGGGUAAUUUCAUGUGUACCAUAGGUGCAAAAUGAAUUCUGGCAUGGCUUGAUUUAGUUUCUGUUUGCUUUCAUCCUUUUAUUCGUUUGGUUUAUUCCAGGUCCAUAUAAUUAUGAUGUCUUGGAGGGUAUGACGUUCGACAAUAUUUAUGAAUCCUUCAAUGCUGACUUUGAGGAUGGUACAAUCGGGCAGGUAAUUAUUUUUCCUUUUGUCAUGUGAAGCCCAACACUAUGCUCUUAACCAGGUAUGGAUCUUUGAGAGUAUCCUUCAUGGUGAAUAUGGAGAAGGAAUGAAUAUCAAAGUACUUGUUCUAGCUGAAAGGGUAGACCUGCUCUAACCAAAGGACCUUUAGAUGCUUGACUACAACCAUUGCACUUACUGUUGUGGACCGGUUAUAUAGAUUAACCAAUUAUGCCUGUCAUGUAUAGAUUAACCGAAAGUUGUAUAUGUUCCGCCCAAGUUAUCAUGUAUUACAUUUGUGGACAGUUGUAUAUGUUCUGAUCUGUACACGUAUACAUAACAAACAAAGCAUGUGUGUUCAUACCUGGGGUU